This 140-nucleotide small RNA is filed under the name Candidatus Omnitrophota bacterium. RNAcentral's name for it is "Omnitrophica bacterium c-di-AMP sequence". It matches the Rfam family "c-di-AMP riboswitch aptamer (ydaO/yuaA leader)". Rfam says of the family: This family represents a conserved RNA structure found upstream of the ydaO and yuaA genes in Bacillus subtilis and related genes in other bacteria. The ydaO/yuaA element is thought to act as a genetic "off" switch for the ydaO and yuaA genes in its native state. The record is from RNAcentral. Lineage: Bacteria; Pseudomonadati; Candidatus Omnitrophota.
GAGAAUUGACCGCCCAAUUUCCACAGGGGAAGCGGGAGAGAGGCUGUAAGCGGGUGAACUUCAUUGGCUGUAACGGUGAAGCGGGCUAAUCUGCGGUCCCAACCCAAAAGCUAAUCUCGUCGGCGUAGCAGAUGGCUUCA